RNAcentral lists this ribosomal RNA (465 nucleotides) under uncultured Thermomicrobia bacterium. RNAcentral describes it as "bacterial SSU rRNA". It matches the Rfam family "Bacterial small subunit ribosomal RNA", at positions 224 to 704 of the family's 1533-position model. The record is from RNAcentral. Lineage: Bacteria; Pseudomonadati; Thermomicrobiota; Thermomicrobia.
GGUGGGCCCGCGACCUAUCAGCUUGUCGGUGGGGUAACGGCCUACCGAGGCUCUGACGGGUAGCUGGUCUGAGAGGACGACCAGCCACACGGGGACUGAGACACGGCCCCGACUCCUACGGGAGGCAGCAGUAAGGAAUCUUCCGCAAUGGGCGAAAGCCUGACGGAGCGACGCCGCGUGUGGGAUGAAGUCUCUCGGGAUGUAAACCACUGUCGGAGGGGAAGAGAAUGGACGGUACCCUCCAAGAAAGCCCCGGCUAACUACGUGCCAGCAGCCGCGGUAAUACGUAGGGGGCAAGCGUUACUCGGAUUCACUGGGCGUAAAGCGCGUGUAGGCGGCUGGUCAAGCGUGAUGUGAAAUCUCCGGGCUUAGCCCGGAAACUGCAUCGCGAACUGGCCUGGCUGGAGUGCAGGAGAGGGAUGUGGAAUUCCCGGUGUAGCGGUGAAAUGCGUAGAUAUCGGGAGG